RNAcentral lists this ribosomal RNA (450 nucleotides) under uncultured bacterium. RNAcentral's name for it is "partial 16S ribosomal RNA". It matches the Rfam family "Bacterial small subunit ribosomal RNA", at positions 354 to 796 of the family's 1533-position model. The record is from RNAcentral.
GUGGGGAAUAUUGGACAAUGGGCGAAAGCCUGAUCCAGCCAUGCCGCGUGUGUGAAGAAGGUCUUCGGAUUGUAAAGCACUUUAAGUUGGGAGGAAGGGCAGUAAGUUAAUACCUUGCUGUUUUGACGUUACCAACAGAAUAAGCACCGGCUAACUUCGUGCCAGCAGCCGCGGUAAUACGUAGGGUGCAAGCGUUAAUCGGAAUUACUGGGCGUAAAGCGUGCGCAGGUGGUUUUGUAAGUUGGAGGUGAAAUCCCCGGGAUCAACCUGGGAACUGCCUCCAAAACUGCAUGACUAGAGUACGGUAGAGGGUAGUGGAAUUUCCUGUGUAGCGGUGAAAUGCGUAGAUAUAGGAAGGAACACCAGUGGCGAAGGCGACUACCUGGACUGAUACUGACACUGAGGUGCGAAAGCGUGGGGAGCAAACAGGAUUAGAAACCCUGGUAGUCC